Molecule: small nucleolar RNA, 132 nt
Organism: Suncus etruscus (white-toothed pygmy shrew)
Lineage: Eukaryota; Metazoa; Chordata; Mammalia; Eulipotyphla; Soricidae
Product: small nucleolar RNA SNORA51
Exons: 1
Source: RefSeq, a predicted model, not a curated record
GGCCUCUCAAUGCUUACCACAGGCUGUGUUGUUUACAUUGACUGUAUAGAAAGAGGAGGUACAGUAAAUGCACCCCAUAUACACCUAAGCCCAGAUCCUUUGCCUGGUCUGUAUUGUAAAUGGGAGACAUGG